This 363-nucleotide transfer RNA is filed under the name uncultured Microcystis sp. RNAcentral describes it as "partial 16S-23S ribosomal RNA intergenic spacer". The stretch from base 134 to 207 matches the Rfam family "tRNA". Lineage: Bacteria; Bacillati; Cyanobacteriota; Cyanophyceae; Chroococcales; Microcystaceae. The record is from RNAcentral.
AAAGGGAGACCUAAUUCAGGUAAAAGACGAAAAAAAAGUAGUCGCUACCAAGAAUCAAUCCCAAAAGGUCGGAGCGAGGCAUGAGGCUUUCAAACUAGGUUCUGGGUUCAUAAAAGACCUGAAUCAGGAACAAGGGCUAUUAGCUCAGGUGGUUAGAGCGCACCCCUGAUAAGGGUGAGGUCCCUGGUUCGAGUCCAGGAUGGCCCGCCUGCACAGGUGGCAAAAACAAAGAUAAAGAAGCGAGGAAUCAGCACCUUAUCUUAUCUAUAUAUAAGAGAGAAUGCUGGCUCUGAGUACAGAGUCCAGAGGAACCUUGAAAACUGCAUAGAGCUAGGUGAAAAAGCCAAAAAAGAAGACCGCAAG